ACUUUCCCCCUCAUGUGCCUGUGAGCUGUGACCUCCCUCAAACCCCUGUUGUAAAUCUAAACUGUCUUCCUCUUCCUCCUCGCUGGAAGGGUCAAGUUGGGGAGGCUGAUGUGGCGUUUGCCCAUUCGUUUAGAAAAUGCCUGUACAGGGGAGAGAGAAAGGGUUAAAAUGUCGACCAAUAGGAAAGCUGGAGGCGGAGCCUCCCUGUUUAUAAAAGGGCUUAGCCUGAGAUUUGAGUUAGUUAGUUGGUUGGUUUUAGUGGGUUGCUUGGUUGGGAAAGGCAGUUGGAAAAGCAGUUGGCAGGUAGUUGGUAAUAGAGACAGUUGGUGCAGUUGGUUCUUGUGUGAGGGGAGGGAGGUAGAAGAGAUACAGACAGGAUAAAAUAAGACUAGGAAGGUAAAGAGUAACAACGUUUGGAAUGCAGUUAAAGUUUGUGUCUGAAAUAAACUACACUCUUCUUUGUCAACGUGAGAACCUGACUGAGACUUAAGUGAUUUACCUGGGAGGACCUGGUUGGGGGCAGCGGAUUAGUGGUGUACGGGUCAAUAGUCCAUGAGACGACCGGGGGCUCCGUACAAACGCCACAGCUGUCUCCACCAUUCCUCCUCUGCCCAGUCCCUAACAUCAACAGUGGAAUGGACUCUCUCGGAAAGCAGUGGACUCUCCUUCAUUGGAGGGUUUUAAGCAGAGGUUGAAUGGCCAUCCAUCAUGGAUGAUUUAGUUGAGAUUCUGGCUUUGCAGGGGUUGGGCCAGAGGACCCUCGGUGUACCUUCCAACUGUAUAAUUGUAUGAUUUCUUUUUACAGAUUACUCUCCCUGCCACGUUCCUGCCCUUCCCGGAGCCCCACCACCUUCCUCUUCCUAAGUAGGCAAGGAGGCAGGACUUCCUACGGAAACCUGCAUGGAGCACGUAGAGGACACGGACUCCACACCACAUGCAACAGUGCAGGCCUUUGCCUCCCAUGUCAAAGUGUGAUGGCCUGGGACUCGGGCUCGGACUCGGCACCAGAGGAGUUUCAGUCCGCACUGGAUCCUUUGCCUCAGGCGGCAUCACCAUCAAGUCAGGGGCCUGAUUCUGAAGAGCCCCAGUCUGCACGGGUUCCCCUGCAACAAGCACCAGCUGGGCUGAGUCAGGGGCCUGAGCCUGCCCUGGCUCCAGAUGUGGGGAUUACCUCGUUGUCUUCAGCUGGGCCAUCACUUACAGCUGCUCCACUACCAGUUGGGUCAGGAGAGGCUGAGGCAGCCUCUGGGUCUAGUAACCCACCGACAUCUCCCAAGCUGCAGAGACCGAGGUCUGAGAGAAGGAGAGAUCUGAGUACUCGCAGGAAGAGGGCUCGCCUUCAGGUGAGACGGAGGUGAGUCACUGGGGGAUCGGGACCGGCCAUUACCCCGACAAAGAUAAAAGGCUGUUGGACCCCGCCGCAGGUUGCGGGAGCAACAUUGCUGUUUGCUAGAACCUGCCUGAGACCCUGCGCCCGACUUAGCCUGGUUUCCUGCCUGGGCCCUGUCGGACUGACUCCUCGCGGAAUCCUUGGAUUUGGGACUGAACCUGGACCGCGUUGCUCUGGUUAACCCCUGGGCCCAGCACACAAAGGUUGUAGAUCUGGUACUGAAAUGGAUUGCCAGGUAGCUCUCAAAGAAGCAUGCAAUUCUAUCCUACUCAGAUUAUGUAUGGACUGGGCCAUUGUAUUAUAUGAUAUGCCCCUCUCUGCACUGGGAAACCAAAUAGAAUGGACUGGAAAUGAUCAAAUAGUUCCUGUACCUGUGCAGGGAUGCAGGCAGAGAGCAUGUAGAGUUCACUGGAGUGCUGCAUUUUAAAAAAUAUUAUUUUAGAGAUUGUGGCUGCAUAUUACAAUGCCCUUACCAAUUAAUUUGCAUUGGGCUUGUUUGGCAACGUUUGUUUAUUCUGUAAUGGUAGCAAAGUAGGGAGAACCAGGCAAUGCCCUUUUAAUAAUUCAUAAUUUUUUGUCAAAACAAACAUUUCAAACUGUCACAACCCCCUUUUCAUUUCCUCCUUCGUUCCUCACUUUCACCGUAGCCUAUAAAGGAUGUGUUAAAGAAGAUGACAAGAUUGCAAAACAGGUGACAUCUGCGGUGGGCGGGUGGACGGGGAGGAAGGAUCAAGGAUUAUGGAGGAUGAACAUCACAAAAUCCUCCUCCCCCUCCAACCCCUAGUUACUUAUGCAAAUUUCUUAAGAUAAUUUUGACAGCAACUUAUUCGUGCAGGUUGUGGUAGUCAUUCGUGCAGAUUGAGACCAUCCAUCGCCAUCCUGGUGCUCUCCAGAGACUUUGGACCAUAGGUAAGCAAACUAAGGCCUGUGGGCCAGAUCAGGCCCAAUUCCCUUCUGGAUCUGGCCCAUGGAUGGUCUGGCAAUCACCGCAUGGAUCGCCAGUGCGCACAUUUUCCCCCUCUCCAUCCCUCUCCCUCACACAGCGGCGGCGCCACCUCCUCCCUCCCUCCCUCCUGGCUUCUCCCUGCCCUGCCUAGAGGAGGAAGGGGGCUGGUCUUUGUUGAUGCCAGCAGCAGCAGCAGCGCUUGAGCGGCCGCCAUUUUAAGCAGCCCCUCUCUGGAACCCUUUUGCUCGCCGCUCAUUGUCCCUCCACCGCUGCCAGCCCCUGCCGCUCACAAGACACAGGUAAGCAGCCACCGGGGCUCGUGGUGCUCUUGCAUCAUUUUUUUCUUCAGAAUAUAAUCUGGCCUCCCACAAGGUCUGAGGGACAGUGGACCGGCCCCCUGCUGAAAAAGUUCACUGACCCUGCUUUGGAUUAAAGGUCCGUGAUGGGAGUUGAAGGCCACACUAGACAAGCCAUAACAACCCACUCCAGAAAGAAAAGCAAUUCCAUGAUGCGCAAUGCAUAUAUCCGGAGGACCAGGCUACCUCGAGGCGCCUGUGUACAUUGACUGGUAGCAGCUGUCAAGGGUUUCAGACAGGGAUCAGUCCUAGCAAUUUCUGGAUACACCAGGAUUAAAUUUACAGAGGCGGUUAUAGAGUAGCACAAGUUUGAAAGCCUGCCAGCGCAAGUAGAUAAAUAGGUACGGCUGUGGUGGGAAGGUAAACAGUGUUUCCAUGCGCUCUGGUUUCUGUCAUGGUGUCCCAUUGCGCCAGAAGUGGUUUAGUCAUGCUGGCCACAUCACCCGAAAAGCUAGCUCCCUCGGCCUGAAAGUGAGAUGAGUGCCACAACCCUAUAGUUGCCUUUGACUGGACUUAACUGUUCAGGGUUUACCUUUUUACUGGGUGCCACCCUACAGGGGGUGCAAAAACAAUGCUGUAGAGGCAGGGACACCGCAUUUGAGAGCCCAAAGUCUGCCACCGGGACCUGGAACUACCUGAACGCUCCAGCACUUAGCUUUGGCCCUUCUGAAUGUUUGCCAAACUGAGUUUCAGGUGUUAACGGGUUUUUGACAGGCAAGUCCUGUGUGCAUUUAAAUCCCUGCUUCUAAUGAAACAUCCAGUGUGGGCGCCUAGAUGCCACUUCAAAUUUCACCCUGCUAAAAAUGUGGCACACAAACCAACUGCAAGUUUCCACUUGAUAGAAGCUGAAAGGAGGCACGUCUCUCUCCUUCGCCUCAGAACAUUAAUAUUUACAGUGAGUUCCUGAGGAAUGAAGUGAGGCUCAGAGUCAACUGACUGACACUCACCAAAUGCUAAAAGCAAGCCAACCCACAGAUGCCUUUUAAUUUUCAAGGAUCUGUUCAGGUUAACCUCAGAUGUCUGCCUCGCCCUUUUCUUCCUGUUGUAAUUGAAACAGUCAAAGAAAAAGGAAAAAAACCCACAUAAGAUAAACUGCUGAAAGAAUUGUUCAAGAUAUUAUAGGAGAUUUAAGAAACUUCUCAGCUGCUUGUUUAUUUAAUCACUAAUUGAUAAAAAUCUGCAAAGUGAGAGUUUCCAAAUAGGAAAACAAUUAGCAGAGUUAAUCAACAGAGAUAAAUGAAUAAAUAAAAAUUGGUUAAAUUGUACACGUUUUGAAUUUUAGAGAAGCAAAAUCCCAUGCUAUUUAUCAAGACGGUGUUGAGCGGGCAGUAGAAUCGAAGGGAAUGAGGCAGCUGGAUUGCACCCAGAGAAGAACGAGCAGAACUCCACUUGUACAACGAGGCUUCCCAGAUUUCUUUCUCCACGAUAGGUCCCUGCAACUCAUCCCCCAAAGCCACGCAGUGCUCAGGAUGAUGGGAUGCUGUGCAUCGGGAUUGUAGUGGAAUGGAGAAUUUCAGCCUUACCUGUGAGUGGAAGCUCCUUUCCACUUGUGCAAAACGCCUUUGGAUCCAGGUCACUGUAAUUUAAAUAACACAAUCAAGCCAACAAAGAAAAUUGAAGUGUGAUUCUUACCACAUUUUCUCAGCACUAAUUUCCUCUAAGUUUAAUGUGUGGAGGUUGUGUAGCCCCAGGUGUUGUUGUUGUAGUUGUUUAGUUGUUCAGUUGUGUCCGACUCUUCGUGACCCCAUGGACCAGAGCACGCCAGGCACUCCUGUCUUCCACUGCCUCCUGCAGUUUGGUCAAACUCAUGUUUGUAUCUUCGAGAACACUGUCCAACCAUCUCGUCCUCUGUCGUCCCCUUCUCCUUGUGCCCUCCAUCUCUCCCAACAAUCUUUUCCAGGAAGUCUUCUAUUCUCAUGAGGUGGCCAAAGUACUGGAACCUCAGCUUCACGAUCUGUCCUUCCAGUGAGCACUCAGGGCUGAUUUCCUUCAGAAUGGAUAGGUUUGAUCUUCUUGCAGUCCAUGGGACUCUCAAGAGUCUCCUCCAGCACCAUAAUUCAAAAGCAUCAAUUCUUCCCCUUCAUGGAUCACUGCCUUGCCGUGGCGAAGGGGCUUGAAUAACUCAGAGAAGCUUGGAGCUAUGCCAUGCAGGGCACCCAAGAUGGACAGGUCAUAGUGGAGAGUUUUGACCAAACGUGAUCCACCUGGAGCAGGAACUGGCAAGCCACUCCAGUAUCCCUGCCAAGAAAACUCCAUGGACAAAGACAACAGGCCCCAGGUGAGGGCUGCUUAAAUGGCUUGGUCGGCUCUGCCCCUUGCACAGCCCAUGUCCAAGCCAGCAUCCCCAUUCGCCAAAGUGGGAUGCAGGCCAGGAUCCAGCUCCUGAUAGGCAGUGCAGGCUUAAGGAAGGGGAACUGAGGCCAUGAUCCUUCAUUGGGGCCCCAGGGAGCUUCUGCCGUCCUGCAACACCACCACACUAAAAGGGGUGAGCCAACUUGUGUGACAUAAUCCCUUGAAUAUUUAGAUUUAUUUAUUUAUUUACUUACUUACUUACUUACUUACUUACUUACUUACAUUUAUAUCACACCUUUCUUUCUUCUGUUGUGGAAUGCAAGGUGGGCCACAGUAGUUUGCACAUGAAAACACUGCUCACCUUCCUGCUGCAGCGGUACCUAUUUUUCUACUCGCG
Molecule: long non-coding RNA, 5381 nt
Filed under: Podarcis lilfordi (Lilford's wall lizard)
Lineage: Eukaryota; Metazoa; Chordata; Lepidosauria; Squamata; Lacertidae
Source: RNAcentral